ACCCGAAGUCGCUGAUCCAACCCGCAAGGGAGGUAGGUGCCGAAGGUUUGGUUGGUAAUUGGGAUGAAGUCGUAACAAGGUAGCCGUAGGUGAACCUGCAGAAGGAUCA
RNAcentral lists this ribosomal RNA (109 nucleotides) under uncultured eukaryote. RNAcentral's name for it is "partial small subunit ribosomal RNA". It matches the Rfam family "Bacterial small subunit ribosomal RNA", at positions 1419 to 1525 of the family's 1533-position model. The record is from RNAcentral.